CUCCAGAGACAGGAGAGAGGACAUGGAAGUACACACUGCAGCAGCUUGUCCACUUUAAACCACUGAUGUAUCAUCUCAGGGACCAAUACCUCACAUUAAGUCCCAGAAAGGUGUAAAGGGGCAGUGAUGAGGCCCUGGAGACGCAGAAACAAGAUGGCGGCCCCGGUGCAGGUGUGCUGUGUGGACACUCUCCCUCCUCACCUGAGUCCUCUGGACGCUUUAAUGUUCGAGUCUCACCUGGACGCACUUUUCCACAGUGGCACGGAGCCGCCCACCGUCCUGUUCAGCCCGCAGCGGCCUCAGGGCUGCGGGAGGUCCGGCAUUUUACUGCGCGUCCACCCGCUCACCGAGCAGGAGACCGCGGGAUGCGGAGACAGAAACUUCCCCGGAGCCGAGUCCCGAAGCCGCGUCCGGCUGUUCGUCAGCCGCUUCUUCCUGCGGCACCACGGGCUCCAGCGGCUCGGCAGCUCCGGGACUGUGCGGGCUCUGGAGCCGGUCAGCCUGGACAGAGUGGUGCUGGGAGCCCGCAGCAGGCAGAGCCUCCGCUGGGCCGGAGGGGAGCACUUCACCGCCGGGCUGCUGGAGCUCUGCCGCCCGGGACAGUGGCUGCUGGCCCGGCAGGGAGACCCGCUGCUGCUGCCCCGACCCCCGCUGCUGGAGCCCCGAGCCCCGCUGCUGGAGACCCGACCCCCGCUGCUGGAGCCCCGACCCCCGCUGCUGGAGCCCCGACCCCCGCUGCUGGAGACCCGAGCCCCGCUGCUGGAGACCCCCGGAGAGGAGCCGGGACAGGUGCAGCAGCAGCUCUCGGACCUGAUGGUGUUGGCCUGCAGUCCUGUAUCACAGGGCCGGAUCACAGCCGACACGUCCCUGGUUCUGACCGACUGCUGGGACUCGGUGGAUCCCCCGGGGGCCCCCCCACCCUGCAGACCGCUCAGUCUGAGCUUUUCAGAUUUUGCUCAUUAUGCCGACAGCCUCGGAGGGGGACGCUCUCUUCUCGACAGCAGGAAGCUGCUUGGCUCGGAGUUCUCCGACAUCCUGCGGGCGCUUGAGUGCAGGGUGGACGUCCUGGUGGUGGACGUUUCACGGUGGACCGGUGUCCCCUUCGGUCAGCAGGGGGCAGUGGUGGAUACGGACAACUGCGUGUUUGUGAGCAAACAGCUGCUGCUCAGGCUCGGGCUGUUUAACCACGAGUGGGUGGAGCUGUCGAAGGCGGGAGCAUCCUCGCGACCUCAGACGGGUCAGAUGGACGUCAGGGGAGGAAUCGGCAGAGAGCGGCUGGUAUCUGUGGUGGUGGUGGAUUUAACUGAGAGUCCAGAUCUGCAGAACCUUGAUGAAGUUGGUUUCAUAUCAGCGAGUCUGUGGUUCAACUUGACCGAAGGGGAAGUGAUUCCUGUGAACAGCCUCACGCUGAGGAUGAAGAGGUGGAGACCGUCUCCUCCGGAGGUCGGUGGUGGCUCUGACAGUUCCUGUCGCUCAGCUUCUCCUGCCUUCGCCACUGAGCUUCACAUCCAGCCGGUGGUGUCUCUGCUGUGCGACCACCUGGGCUGCUGCGACACCCUGCUGUCUGAACACUUCAGUUCUCCCAGACUGGUUUCACUCGGAGACGUCUUAUCAGUUCCCACUGAAAACCAUCCAGACCUGCUGGAGAACAACUGUGACGGCAUCCACAGGUCUCCUGUGCUGUUCUUCAAAGUGCAGAAGGUGUGUCCGUCUGCAGAGAGAGAAGAAGAAGGAGGAGGAGGAGGAGCUCUCCUGGCCGACAGACUGCACACCUCCCUCUACAUGGGAGCGUCCACUAACAGCCCCGUCCCCUGCAGCUCGGUGGAGCGAGGGUCUCUGUGGAGCAGUCUGUCUCCUCCGGGCCUCGACAAGACCGUCGACCUCCUCAGCAGCAUCAUCCUGCCCCACCUGCAGCACAGCAGCUGUCUGUCCGGUUGCACCGUCCUCCUUCACGGUCCUGCAGGAAGUGGUAAGGUGACGGUGGUCAGCGCGGCGAGUCGCAGACUGAACCUCCACCUGCUGAAGGUGGACUGUGUGAGCGUGUGCGCUGACACACCUGCAGCCGCUGAAGUGAAGCUGACGUCGUUGUUUCAGCGAGCCGCCGCCCUGCAGCCCUGCAUCCUUCUGCUCAGGAACCUGCAGCUCCUGCUCCGACCCAGGGGGGAGGAGGACGCCAGGGUCCAGGCAGCGCUCCGCUAUCUGCUCAGCAGCGCCCCCAUCAGUGUGGUGGUGGUGGCGACCGUCUGCAGACCUCGGGAUCUUUCUGCGGGUGUUGUGACAGCGUUCGUCCACCAGGUGUCAUUAGAGAGCCCCAGUGAAGAGCAGCGGCGCUCUAUGUUGUUGAGCCUGAGCCGAGAGCUUCACCUGGGCAGAGACGUGAGUCUGGAGAGACUCUCCAAACUCACAGCGGGUUUUGUGUUGGGAGAUCUCCGAGUUCUGCUGGCGGAGGCCGGUCGAGCUGCCUGCAGGAGGCUGAGUCACACCUGUGGUGGUCGGCAGGAGGAGGACCUGUGCUCCAGCGGAGUGACCGUCCUGAACCAGGACUUCACCUGCGCCCUGGAGACGCUGCAGGACGCCCAGUCCAAGGCCAUCGGAGCCCCGAAGAUUCCUAACGUGCGGUGGGAGGAUGUCGGAGGUCUGCAGCAGGUGAAGAAAGAAAUCCUGGACACGAUUCAGCUCCCUCUGCAGCGUCCGGAGCUCCUGUCUCUGGGUCUGAGCCGGACCGGGGUCCUGCUGUACGGACCCCCGGGAACAGGAAAAACCCUGCUGGCCAAAGCCGUGGCCACCGAGUGCUCCAUGACCUUCCUCAGUGUCAAAGGUCCAGAGCUCAUCAACAUGUACGUGGGUCAGAGCGAAGAGAACAUCAGAGAAGUGUUCAGCAGAGCGCGCUCAGCAGCUCCGUGCGUCGUCUUCUUCGAUGAGCUGGACUCUCUGGCUCCCAGCAGGGGGCGCAGUGGAGACUCUGGAGGAGUGAUGGACAGAGUCGUGUCUCAGCUGCUGGCCGAGCUCGACGCGCUGCCCUCGACUGCCGGGGUGUUUGUGAUCGGAGCCACCAACCGUCCAGAUCUGCUCGACCAAUCACUGCAGAGACCUGGCAGGUUUGAUAAGUUGGUCUACGUUGGAAUCAACGAGGAUCGAGUCUCUCAGCUUCAAGUUCUUCAGGCCAUCCUCAGAAAGUUCCAGCUGGACCCCGCGGUGAACCUGGAGGAGGUGGUGGAGAGUUGUCCCGCCCACAUGACCGGCGCUGACCUUUACGCUCUGUGUUCAGACGCCAUGACGGCCGCCAUCAAGAGGAAGAUCUCUCUGAUCGACGAAGGUGUGGACUCGGAGGACUCGCCUGUCGUUCUCUCCGCUGACGACUUCUCUGCGUCGUUAGAAAACUUCAAACCAUCGGUUUCCGAACAGGAGCUGCUCCGAUACGCAAACAUCCAACAGAAACUCACUGUGACGUAGAAUCACAGGAAAAUAAAAACUGUCGGACGACAACGUUCACGCAUCGACAAGAUGCUACUGCUGAGAAGAUCGUCUCUGGGGAGGACUCAGGUGAAGUGGGGCAUUCGACUGCAGGUUCUGGAGGAAACAACCAAGGUCAUCAGAGUUCUUCUGGACAAAGAAAAUCCAGACAAACAUGAAGGUAAUUAAACAAGUCGAGUAAUUAUAAAACAACCACAAUGUGAACACAACAGCCCUUAAAAACCACCAGAUUCCUUCCUCAACAACACGGUUGAAUGUAGCCAGGUUUGUUUAGAAAGGUUCAGUGUGUUUGAUUUAGUGACAUCUAGUGGAGACUCUGAAUAAUACAACCACCUGAACACCUCACGGCUUGUGUGUGGCAGGAAACUGUACAAACUGUACAAACUGUACAAACGGACUCCGUGGAUAUAAAGGGAGAAAUACUUCAGCAAUAAAGAGUUUAUUUAUAAAUAAUAAUAAUCUCAGUUUCAGAGGAUACGAAUGAAAACGUUAAGAUUUGUUUUCACUUCCGAUAGAAGCUCCUGAAUCCUUCACACUGAACCGCUUAAAGAAACAAGUUUAGAUUUAACGUUCUGGAAAGAUGCUGGUUUUUGUUUUACAACCGUCACGGUGACGUCACCCGUUGGUUUGUGAGCCGAAGCCAAGGUUUCACAUCGUGUUCGGCGCCAUCUUGGUUUGUUGAAACCAGAAGUAACCAUAUUUGGAGGAGCAGGGGGUGGAGCCUGACCGAGAGCUGGCGGACACGCCCACCCACACCUGCCACCUGCAUCCAUUGGACGGCAACAGCUGUCAAUCACACUGUGGUAUCCACCCCCCCGAUACAUCAGG
RNA transcript from Hippoglossus stenolepis (Pacific halibut), 4302 nucleotides. It is a transcript of the gene named peroxisomal biogenesis factor 6, with no coding region annotated. The record is from RefSeq and is a predicted model, not a curated record. The transcript is spliced from 20 exons. Lineage: Eukaryota; Metazoa; Chordata; Actinopteri; Pleuronectiformes; Pleuronectidae.